RNAcentral lists this non-coding RNA (124 nucleotides) under Winogradskyella psychrotolerans. Its description in RNAcentral is "SAM-I sequence". It matches the Rfam family "SAM riboswitch aptamer (S box leader)". Rfam says of the family: The SAM riboswitch is found upstream of a number of genes which code for proteins involved in methionine or cysteine biosynthesis in Gram-positive bacteria. The SAM riboswitch acts at the level of transcription termination control. The record is from RNAcentral. Lineage: Bacteria; Pseudomonadati; Bacteroidota; Flavobacteriia; Flavobacteriales; Flavobacteriaceae.
AUGUUAUCAAGAAAGGUGGAGGGAUUAGACCCUUUGAAACCUUAGCAACCCUUAAACUUAUUAAGAAGGUGCUAACUUCUACGUUAUUGUCGAUUCAUUUAUCGCGCAAUUGGAUAGAUAACCA